Molecule: ribosomal RNA, 253 nt
Filed under: uncultured bacterium
Lineage: Bacteria
Description: partial 16S ribosomal RNA
Rfam family: Bacterial small subunit ribosomal RNA
Source: RNAcentral
UACGGAGGGUGCGAGCGUUAUCCGGAUUCACUGGGUUUAAAGGGUGCGUAGGUGGGCAGUUAAGUCAGUGGUGAAAUCUCCGGGCUUAACCCGGAAACUGCCAUUGAUACUAUCUGUCUUGAAUACCGUGGAGGUGAGCGGAAUAUGUCAUGUAGCGGUGAAAUGCUUAGAUAUGACAUAGAACACCAAUUGCGAAGGCAGCUCACUACACGAAUAUUGACACUGAGGCACGAAAGCGUGGGGAUCAAACAGG